UACGUAGGGUGCAAGCGUUGUCCGGAAUUAUUGGGCGUAAAGAGCUCGUAGGCGGCUUGUCACGUCGACUGUGAAAACCCGGGGCUCAACUCCGGGCCUGCAGUCGAUACGGGCUGGCUUGAGUGCGGUAGGGGAGACUGGAAUUCCUGGUGUAGCGGUGAAAUGCGCAGAUAUCAGGAGGAACACCGAUGGCGAAGGCAGGUCCCUGGGCCAUAACUGACGCUGAGAAGCGAAAGCAUGGGGAGCGAACAGG
RNAcentral lists this ribosomal RNA (253 nucleotides) under uncultured bacterium. Its description in RNAcentral is "partial 16S ribosomal RNA". It matches the Rfam family "Bacterial small subunit ribosomal RNA", at positions 524 to 776 of the family's 1533-position model. The record is from RNAcentral.